GUGCAGCAGGCGAGAAACCUUCGCAAUGCGGGAAACCGCGACGAGGGGACUCCCAGUGCCUACGCUCAGCGUAGGCUGUUCCCGAGCCUAGAAAGCUCGGGGAGUAAGGGCUGGGUAAGACGGGUGCCAGCCGCCGCGGUAAUACCGCAGCCCGAGUGGUGGCCACUAUUAUUGGGCCUAAAGCGUCCGUAGCCGGCCCGGUAAAUGCCUGGGUAAAUCGUGAGGCCUAACCUCACGAAUUCCGGGUAGACUGCGGGGCUAGGGACCGGAGGAGGGAGAGGGGUACUCCAGGGGUAGGGGUGAAAUCCUGUAAUCCCUGGAGGACCACCGGUGGCGAAGGCGCUCUCCUAGGACGGGUCCGACGGUGAGGGACGAAAGCCAGGGGAGCGAACCGGAUUAGAUACCCGUGUAGU
Molecule: ribosomal RNA, 413 nt
Filed under: uncultured microorganism
Description: bacterial SSU rRNA
Rfam family: Archaeal small subunit ribosomal RNA
Source: RNAcentral